GACGAACGCUGGCGGCGCGCUUAACACAUGCAAGUCGAACGGUAAGGCCCUUCGGGGUACACGAGUGGCGAACGGGUGAGUAACACGUGGGUGAUCUGCCCUGCACUUCGGGAUAAGCCUGGGCAACUGGGUCUAAUAACGGAUAGGACUCCUGGCUUCAUGGUUGGGGGUGGAAAGCUUUUGCGGUGUGGGAUGGGCCCGCGGCCUAUCAGCUUGUUGUUGGGGUAAUGGCCUACCAAGGCGACGACGGGUAGCCGGCCUGAGGGGGUGACCGGUCACACUGGGACUGAGAUACGGCCCAGACUCCUACGGAGGCAGCAGUGGGGAAUAUUGCACAAUGGGCGCAAGCCUGAUGCAGCGACGCCGCGUGAGGGAUGACGGCCUUCGGGUUGUAAACCUCUUUCAGCUACGACGAAGCGCAAGUGACGGUAGUAGCAGAAGAAGGACCGGCCAACUACGUGCCAGCAGCCGCGGUAA
This 477-nucleotide ribosomal RNA is filed under the name uncultured bacterium. Its description in RNAcentral is "partial 16S ribosomal RNA". It matches the Rfam family "Bacterial small subunit ribosomal RNA", at positions 28 to 523 of the family's 1533-position model. The record is from RNAcentral.